RNAcentral lists this ribosomal RNA (295 nucleotides) under uncultured microorganism. Its description in RNAcentral is "partial 16S ribosomal RNA". It matches the Rfam family "Bacterial small subunit ribosomal RNA", at positions 9 to 301 of the family's 1533-position model. The record is from RNAcentral.
GAGUUUGAUCGUGGCUCAGAUUGAACGCUGGCGGUAUGCCUUACACAUGCAAGUCGAGCGGCAGCAUGAUCUAGCUUGCUAGAUUGAUGGCGAGGUGGCGAACGGGUGAGUAGUACGAUCGGAACGUGCCCUGUAGUGGGGAUAACUAGUCGAAAGAUUAGCUAAUACCGCAUACGACCUGAGGGUGAAAGUGGGGGACCGCAAGGCCUCAUGCUAUAGGAGCGGCCGAUGUCUGAUUAGCUAGUUGGUGGGUAAAGGCCACCAAGGCGACGAUCAGUAGCUGGUCUGAGAGGAC